This is a small nuclear RNA of Dromiciops gliroides (monito del monte), 103 nucleotides long. Lineage: Eukaryota; Metazoa; Chordata; Mammalia; Microbiotheria; Microbiotheriidae. The record is from RefSeq and is a predicted model, not a curated record.
GUGCUCAAUUUGGCAGCACAGAUAGUAAAUUGGAAUGAUACAGAGAUUGGCAUGGCCCUUGCACAAGGAAGACACACAAAUUUGUGUUAAUAUUAAAAAACAA